CCUUGUGCUCUCUGCUCAGUGCAGGUAAAGAAUUCACACCCCAGCUGUGGCCAUGAGGAUCCUUCACAUGCUCCUGCUUGUCCUCUUGCUGAUGCUCCAAGGGGCUGCAGGACAACAAGUGUUUCCUAGGCUAGAUAAUUCCUGUUUGGCCCAAAACGGACGCUGCUUCCCACGGAUUUGUCGUCGUCCGUAUUACUGGAUUGGAGAGUGUAGUAAUGGAUAUUCUUGCUGCAGAAGGGGAUGGAGUAGCUGAAGAGUCCCUGGAUUUGCCCUGGAAAUCCUUCCUGCUUCUACUGAAAGGCUCCUGGGAAAUCACCCUGAAUCCCUCGCUCCUGGUGGCACCAGUUCCUGCUGCAAUGAAAAGCUGUCACAAUCUUCCCUUGCAGUGAAGCAAACAUCACAAAUGUGAACCAGACAACAUUGUGGAAACUAUUUCUUUCCUCUCCUUUAAUAAAAUCAGUUAUGGUGGCAUUCA
Molecule: non-coding RNA, 475 nt
Organism: Cyanistes caeruleus (blue tit)
Lineage: Eukaryota; Metazoa; Chordata; Aves; Passeriformes; Paridae
Source: RefSeq, a predicted model, not a curated record